GCUGGGCAUGGUGGCACAUACCUGUAGUCCUAGCUACUCAGGAGGCUGAGGUGAGAGGAUUGCUUGAGCCCAGGAGGUUGAGGCUGCAGUGAGCCAUGAUCGUGCCACUGCACUCCAGCCUGGGCAAUAAAGUGAGACCGUGCCUCAA
This is an unclassified non-coding RNA of Pongo abelii (Sumatran orangutan), 148 nucleotides long. It matches the Rfam family "Metazoan signal recognition particle RNA". Rfam says of the family: The signal recognition particle (SRP) is a universally conserved ribonucleoprotein. The record is from Ensembl. NCBI's taxonomy places the organism in Eukaryota, Metazoa, Chordata, Mammalia, Primates, Hominidae.